AAAUUGAAGAGUUUGAUCAUGGCUCAGAUUGAACGCUGGCGGCAGGCCUAACACAUGCAAGUCGAACGGUAGCACAGAGAGCUUGCUCUCGGGUGACGAGUGGCGGACGGGUGAGUAAUGUCUGGGAAACUGCCUGAUGGAGGGGGAUAACUACUGGAAACGGUAGCUAAUACCGCAUAACGUCGCAAGACCAAAGAGGGGGACCUUCGGGCCUCUUGCCAUCAGAUGUGCCCAGAUGGGAUUAGCUAGUAGGUGGGGUAACGGCUCACCUAGGCGACGAUCCCUAGCUGGUCUGAGAGGAUGACCAGCCACACUGGAACUGAGACACGGUCCAGACUCCUACGGGAGGCAGCAGUGGGGAAUAUUGCACAAUGGGCGCAAGCCUGAUGCAGCCAUGCCGCGUGUAUGAAGAAGGCCUUCGGGUUGUAAAGUACUUUCAGCGGGGAGGAAGGCGUUGUGGUUAAUAACCACAGCGAUUGACGUUACCCGCAGAAGAAGCACCGGCUAACUCCGUGCCAGCAGCCGCGGUAAUACGGAGGGUGCAAGCGUUAAUCGGAAUUACUGGGCGUAAAGCGCACGCAGGCGGUCUGUCAAGUCGGAUGUGAAAUCCCCGGGCUCAACCUGGGAACUGCAUUCGAAACUGGCAGGCUAGAGUCUUGUAGAGGGGGGUAGAAUUCCAGGUGUAGCGGUGAAAUGCGUAGAGAUCUGGAGGAAUACCGGUGGCGAAGGCGGCCCCCUGGACAAAGACUGACGCUCAGGUGCGAAAGCGUGGGGAGCAAACAGGAUUAGAUACCCUGGUAGUCCACGCCGUAAACGAUGUCGACUUGGAGGUUGUGCCCUUGAGGCGUGGCUUCCGGAGCUAACGCGUUAAGUCGACCGCCUGGGGAGUACGGCCGCAAGGUUAAAACUCAAAUGAAUUGACGGGGGCCCGCACAAGCGGUGGAGCAUGUGGUUUAAUUCGAUGCAACGCGAAGAACCUUACCUACUCUUGACAUCCAGAGAACUUAGCAGAGAUGCUUUGGUGCCUUCGGGAACUCUGAGACAGGUGCUGCAUGGCUGUCGUCAGCUCGUGUUGUGAAAUGUUGGGUUAAGUCCCGCAACGAGCGCAACCCUUAUCCUUUGUUGCCAGCGGUCCGGCCGGGAACUCAAAGGAGACUGCCAGUGAUAAACUGGAGGAAGGUGGGGAUGACGUCAAGUCAUCAUGGCCCUUACGAGUAGGGCUACACACGUGCUACAAUGGCGUAUACAAAGAGAAGCGACCUCGCGAGAGCAAGCGGACCUCAUAAAGUGCGUCGUAGUCCGGAUUGGAGUCUGCAACUCGACUCCAUGAAGUCGGAAUCGCUAGUAAUCGUAGAUCAGAAUGCUACGGUGAAUACGUUCCCGGGCCUUGUACACACCGCCCGUCACACCAUGGGAGUGGGUUGCAAAAGAAGUAGGUAGCUUAACCUUCGGGAGGGCGCUUACCACUUUGUGAUUCAUGACUGGGGUGAAGUCGUAACAAGGUAACCGUAGGGGAACCUGCGGUUGGAUCACCUCCUUACCUUAAAGAA
RNAcentral lists this ribosomal RNA (1550 nucleotides) under Enterobacter sichuanensis. RNAcentral's name for it is "bacterial SSU rRNA". It matches the Rfam family "Bacterial small subunit ribosomal RNA". Lineage: Bacteria; Pseudomonadati; Pseudomonadota; Gammaproteobacteria; Enterobacterales; Enterobacteriaceae. The record is from RNAcentral.